Molecule: ribosomal RNA, 2289 nt
Filed under: Renifer aniarum
Lineage: Eukaryota; Metazoa; Platyhelminthes; Trematoda; Plagiorchiida; Reniferidae
Description: eukaryotic LSU rRNA
Rfam family: Eukaryotic large subunit ribosomal RNA (bases 1019-2289)
Source: RNAcentral
AGUAAUCCCAAAUUCAACACACUCAGUUUAACUGAGUUGUUCCCGGGUUGUAUAACUUGGGUGCCUCGCAGAAUGGCCUGCCUACGGUGGAGCGCUUUAGUUCUACCAAUGCCUCGCAGAAUGGCCUGCCUAAGGUGGAGCGCCUCAGUUCUACCAAUGCCUCGCAGAAUGGCCUGCCUACGGUGGAGCGCCUUAGUUCUUCCAAUGCCUCGCAGAAUGGCCUGCCUACGGUGGAGCGCCUUAGUUCUACCAAUAACCCAGCUAUACCUGGCAUACUUUGUAUGCCUACGUAUAGACUCACCUUUGACAGGGUGCCUACUUGUCUGAAACCUGUGGGGUGCUCGCGAUCUUGUAUUGCCAGUCCACUUCGUGGGUGACGAGUUGUGCUGUCGUUCGCGGCAGUGCUAGGCUCAAAGAGUGGUUGAAUCAGCUACGGCUGGCCCACCGCCCUGUUUUGUUUCAAACCCAUUUUACACUGUUAAAGUGGUUCAAGCUGAUUUCGGUUGGUUUGGAUCAUUGCCCACGACAUGUUCCUGGCGUGAGCUGGGUUACAUGUCCAGUCGCCUGGCGGUGCCUUAUCCCAGGUAGGACUGAUAAAGCGUCGUUCAUUUGGGAAACCAGGUGACGAAGCUUGUACAACUCUGAGCGGUGGAUCACUCGGCUCGUGUGUCGAUGAAGAGCGCAGCCAACUGUGUGAAUUAAUGUGAACUGCAUACUGCUUUGAACAUCGACAUCUUGAACGCACAUUGCGGCCAUGGGUUAGCUCAUGGCCACGCCUGUCCGAGGGUCGGCUUAUAAAUUAUCACGACGCCCUACAAGUCGUGGCUUGGGUUUUGCCAGCUGACGUGAUUACCCUGGUUUGUUUCAAAUUUGGGGUGUCAGAUCUAUGGCGUUUCCCUAAUGUAUCCAGUUGCAACACUUUGAGGAUGUGACUGUGGAGUCGUGGCUGAAUAUUUAUGUGCGCGCUCCAUCAGGUCGUCCUAGUUGUUUUCUGGUUUGCGAUUAUUCGCAUUUUUCCUGACCUCGGAUCAGACGUGAAUACCCGCUGAACUUAAGCAUAUCACUAAGCGGAGGAAAAGAAACUAACAAGGAUUCCCCCAGUAACGGCGAGUGAACAGGGAAAAGCCCAGCACCGAAGCCUGUGGCCAUUUGGUUACUAGGCAAUGUGGUGUUUAGGUCGUUCCGCAGAAGUGCUGCUCCACCCUAAGUCCAUCAAUGAGUAUGGUAGUAUGGACAUGGCCCAUUGAGGGUGAAAGGCCCGUGGGGGUGGAGCGUCGAUUGGUCAGUACUUCUCUGGGUAGACCUUGGAGUCGGGUUGUUUGAGAAUGCAGCCCAAAGUGGGUGGUAAACUCCAUCCAAGGCUAAAUACUAGCACGAGUCCGAUAGCAAACAAGUACCGUGAGGGAAAGUUGAAAAGUACUUUGAAGAGAGAGUAAACAGUGCGUGAAACCGCUCAGAGGUAAACGGGUGGAGUUGAACUGCAAGCUCUGAGAAUUCAGCUGAUGAGUGUUUUGAGCUUGGUCAAAAGGUGAACUCCGGGGUCUGUGUAGUAGCAGGUCAUCACUUUCGGGUGGUGAUGCGCGAUGCACUUAUCAAGUGUUGUGCGCUCCGGGUGUUCUUCGGCCAACUUGUCAGUGCACUUUCUCAGAGUGGUCACCACGACCGGCGCUGCCGUCUGGCUGCUUUGGUUAAACCGGCUUUGCAUAGUCCUUGUGGCUUUGCUUAGUCGGGAUGGCAGGUAGCUCGUUGACUUGCUUGCGGCUUGCUGUAAGCGUUCGGUUUUCGAGUGUAAUCAGCUGACCAAAGUGGUUCAGUGCGGUGUGUCGGAGACGGCGGCUUGUGGUGUGUGCAUGCGUUCUGUUUCGCUGACUUGUCCGAGUUUGGUUAUCAUGUUGCCUGUUUAAACAGGCCUGGUGAUGGCUCGGAUUUGUUCGGUGGGCGGCUGCGUGUGUGGCACUAUUCCAAGGGCCAAUAGUCUGUGGUGUAGUGGUAGACUUUCCACCCGACCCGUCUUGAAACACGGACCAAGGAGAGUAACAUGUGCGCGAGUCAUUGGGCGUUACGAAACCCAAAGGCGCAGUGAAAGUGAAGGCUUGACUUGUUCAGGCUGAGGUGAGAUCCUGUCGUUUCUCACGCGCGGUACUACCAAGCAUCGAGCGGCAGGCGCAUCACCGGCCCGUCCCAUGGCAUUUGUUUUCAAACAGUUUUCAGUCGGGGCGGAGCAUGAGCGCACAUGUUGAGACCCGAAAGAUGGUGAACUAUGCUUGCGCAGGUUGAAGCCAGAGGAAA